This 497-nucleotide ribosomal RNA is filed under the name uncultured bacterium. RNAcentral describes it as "partial 16S ribosomal RNA". It matches the Rfam family "Bacterial small subunit ribosomal RNA", at positions 28 to 507 of the family's 1533-position model. The record is from RNAcentral.
GAUGAACGCUGGCGGCGUGCCUAAUACAUGCCAGUCGAGCGAACGGACGAGAAGCUUGCUUCUCUGAUGUUAGCGGCGGACGGGUGAGUAACACGUGGAUAACCUACCUAUAAGACUGGGAUAACUUCGGGAAACCGGAGCUAAUACCGGAUAAUAUUUUGAACCGCAUGGUUCAAAAGUGAAAGACGGUCUUGCUGUCACUUAUAGAUGGGUCCGCGCUGCAUUAGCUAGUUGGUAAGGUAACGGCUUACCAAGGCAACGAUGCAUAGCCGACCUGAGAGGGUGAUCGGCCACACUGGAACUGAGACACGGUCCAGACUCCUACGGGAGGCAGCAGUAGGGAAUCUUCCGCAAUGGGCGAAAGCCUGACGGAGCAACGCCGCGUGAGUGAUGAAGGUCUUCGGAUCGUAAAACUCUGUUAUUAGGGAAGAACAUAUGUGUAAGUAACUGUGCACAUCUUGACGGUACCUAAUCAGAAAGCCACGGCUAACUACGUG